Long non-coding RNA from Cucurbita maxima (winter squash), 576 nucleotides. RefSeq lists it as uncharacterized. The transcript has 2 exons. The record is from RefSeq and is a predicted model, not a curated record. NCBI's taxonomy places the organism in Eukaryota, Viridiplantae, Streptophyta, Magnoliopsida, Cucurbitales, Cucurbitaceae.
UUCCACAAAUCUUGACCUUGUGUUCGAGUCCUAGCAAGGAAGACUUCGUGAAUGUUGGAGAACUUUUACAUAGUUGAAAUACUAGAACUUUUACACGGUUGAUUCAACAAGUCUUGCAAGCUAGGUUUCUAUAAAGAUUUAGGACAAAGAUUUGGAUCAAAAUGAGAAGACUAAUGCUUGGUGCAAUUCUCCUGUGGGUGCUGAUCAGCUCGACCGUGCUAAUUGAAGGUACAAUGUAUACAAGUCCCCGACGACUACUGGCCGAUAAAAACGAGCAGAGGGUGAUGGGGAAUGUGAAUGAAAGGACCAAAAAUAGGCGCCCUAAUGAUAGUGGUGAGUACAAUCACCAUGGGUGUCCUAGAAGAGAUGUGGAUUGCUGGAGUAACAAAGAAAUUGGGGACUAAUAUGGGUUUAGUACUAAGUUAGCUGGCUACACGACAUGUUUGCAAAUAAAUAAGUCAACUGUCCACUUGACCAGCUAGCUGUAAUAUAUAUGUUUUGUACUGCUUUUGUAAUAUAUGUGAUGUAACUAGAGGUUCUUGUUUUAUUAGUAAUAUAAAUAUAGGAGUUUUGUAA